Podarcis lilfordi (Lilford's wall lizard) is the source of this 74-nucleotide non-coding RNA. The record is from the annotation of a GenBank genome assembly. Lineage: Eukaryota; Metazoa; Chordata; Lepidosauria; Squamata; Lacertidae.
CUACAGCUCAGUCAGCAGAGCGUUAGACUUAUAAUCUUAGGGUUGUGGGUUCGAACCCCACUUUGAGUGAAAGA